RNAcentral lists this ribosomal RNA (229 nucleotides) under uncultured bacterium. Its description in RNAcentral is "partial 16S ribosomal RNA". It matches the Rfam family "Bacterial small subunit ribosomal RNA", at positions 568 to 796 of the family's 1533-position model. The record is from RNAcentral.
CAUGUAGGCGGCCGUGUAAGCAUCUUGUGAAAUCCCCCGGCUCAACCGGGGAACUGCUGGGUGAACUGCACGGCUUGAGGCAGGUAGGGGUGCGUGGAACUCUUGGUGGAGCGGUGAAAUGCGUAGAUAUCAAGAGGAACGCCGGAGGCGAAAGCGGCGCACUGGGCCUGUCCUGACGCUGAGAUGCGAAGGCUAGGGUAGCUAACAGGAUUAGAUACCCUGGUAGUCC